RNAcentral lists this ribosomal RNA (818 nucleotides) under uncultured bacterium. RNAcentral describes it as "bacterial SSU rRNA". It matches the Rfam family "Bacterial small subunit ribosomal RNA", at positions 56 to 876 of the family's 1533-position model. The record is from RNAcentral.
UGCAGUCGAACGGACCCAGCUCCUUCGGGAACUGGGUUAGUGGCGCACGGGUGCGUAACGCGUAUGCAACCUACCUUCCACUGGGGGAUAGCCCGGAGAAAUCCGGAUUAAUACCGCAUGUGACCACGAGAGGGCAUCUGAUCGUGGUAAAAGCCGAGGCGGUGGAAGAUGGGCAUGCGUGCCAUUAGCUAGAUGGCGGGGUAACGGCCCACCAUGGCGACGAUGGCUAGGGGUUCUGAGAGGAUGGUCCCCCACACUGGUACUGAGACACGGACCAGACUCCUACGGGAGGCAGCAGUAGGGAAUAUUGGGCAAUGGCCGAGAGGCUGACCCAGCCAUGCCGCGUGCAGGAAGAAGGCCUUCUGGGUUGUAAACUGCUUUUAUCUGGGAAGAAAACGCCCCUGCGGGGGUAACUGACGGUACCAGAUGAAUAAGCACCGGCUAACUCCGUGCCAGCAGCCGCGGUAAUACGGAGGGUGCAAGCGUUGUCCGGAUUUAUUGGGUUUAAAGGGUGCGUAGGCGGCCCGUUAAGUCAGCGGUGAAAUCCCACGGCUCAACCGUGGAACUGCCGUUGAUACUGGCGGGCUUGAGUUCGGUCGAGGCGGGCGGAACUGGCGGUGUANCGGUGAAAUGCUUAGAUACCGCCNAGAACCCCGAUUGCGUANGCAGCUCGCUGGGCCGAAACUGACGCUGANGCACGAAAGCGUGGGGAGCGAACAGGAUUAGAUACCCUGGUAGUCCACGCCGUANACGAUGAUGACUCGAUGUUGGCNAUNCNCUNUCAGCGUCCNAGCGAAAGCNUUAAGUCAUCCNCCUGG